This 422-nucleotide ribosomal RNA is filed under the name uncultured bacterium. Its description in RNAcentral is "bacterial SSU rRNA". It matches the Rfam family "Bacterial small subunit ribosomal RNA", at positions 355 to 774 of the family's 1533-position model. The record is from RNAcentral.
UGAGGAAUAUUGGGCAAUGCCCGCAAGGGUGACCCAGCAACGCCGCGUGGAGGAUGAAUGUCGUAAGAUUGUAAACUCCUGUUAGAGGGGAAGAAUAGUACCGGUUGGACCGGUAUAUGACUGUACCCUCAGAGAAAGCCCCGGCUAACUACGUGCCAGCAGCCGCGGUAAUACGUAGGGGGCAAGCGUUGUCCGGAUUUACUGGGUGUAAAGGGCGCGCAGGCGGGAUAAAAAGUCAGUGGUGAAAUCCUACAGCUUAACUGUAGAACUGCCUUUGAUACUUUUAUUCUUGAGUACGGGAGAGAGAGACGGAAUUCCAGGUGUAGUGGUGAAAUACGUAGAUAUCUGGAAGAACACCAGUUGCGAAGGCGGUCUCUUGGUCCGAUACUGACGCUGAGGCGCGAAAGCGUGGGGAGCAAACA